This 2931-nucleotide ribosomal RNA is filed under the name Escherichia coli. RNAcentral's name for it is "23S ribosomal RNA". It matches the Rfam family "Bacterial large subunit ribosomal RNA". Lineage: Bacteria; Pseudomonadati; Pseudomonadota; Gammaproteobacteria; Enterobacterales; Enterobacteriaceae. The record is from RNAcentral.
GGGUUGUGAGGUUAAGCGACUAAGCGUACACGGUGGAUGCCCUGGCAGUCAGAGGCGAUGAAGGACGUGCUAAUCUGCGAUAAGCGUCGGUAAGGUGAUAUGAACCGUUAUAACCGGCGAUUUCCGAAUGGGGAAACCCAGUGUGAUUCGUCACACUAUCAUUAACUGAAUCCAUAGGUUAAUGAGGCGAACCGGGGGAACUGAAACAUCUAAGUACCCCGAGGAAAAGAAAUCAACCGAGAUUCCCCCAGUAGCGGCGAGCGAACGGGGAGCAGCCCAGAGCCUGAAUCAGUGUGUGUGUUAGUGGAAGCGUCUGGAAAGGCGCGCGAUACAGGGUGACAGCCCCGUACACAAAAAUGCACAUACUGUGAGCUCGAUGAGUAGGGCGGGACACGUGGUAUCCUGUCUGAAUAUGGGGGGACCAUCCUCCAAGGCUAAAUACUCCUGACUGACCGAUAGUGAACCAGUACCGUGAGGGAAAGGCGAAAAGAACCCCGGCGAGGGGAGUGAAAAAGAACCUGAAACCGUGUACGUACAAGCAGUGGGAGCACGCUUAGGCGUGUGACUGCGUACCUUUUGUAUAAUGGGUCAGCGACUUAUAUUCUGUAGCAAGGUUAACCGAAUAGGGGAGCCGAAGGGAAACCGAGUCUUAACUGGGCGUUAAGUUGCAGGGUAUAGACCCGAAACCCGGUGAUCUAGCCAUGGGCAGGUUGAAGGUUGGGUAACACUAACUGGAGGACCGAACCGACUAAUGUUGAAAAAUUAGCGGAUGACUUGUGGCUGGGGGUGAAAGGCCAAUCAAACCGGGAGAUAGCUGGUUCUCCCCGAAAGCUAUUUAGGUAGCGCCUCGUGAAUUCAUCUCCGGGGGUAGAGCACUGUUUCGGCAAGGGGGUCAUCCCGACUUACCAACCCGAUGCAAACUGCGAAUACCGGAGAAUGUUAUCACGGGAGACACACGGCGGGUGCUAACGUCCGUCGUGAAGAGGGAAACAACCCAGACCGCCAGCUAAGGUCCCAAAGUCAUGGUUAAGUGGGAAACGAUGUGGGAAGGCCCAGACAGCCAGGAUGUUGGCUUAGAAGCAGCCAUCAUUUAAAGAAAGCGUAAUAGCUCACUGGUCGAGUCGGCCUGCGCGGAAGAUGUAACGGGGCUAAACCAUGCACCGAAGCUGCGGCAGCGACGCUUAUGCGUUGUUGGGUAGGGGAGCGUUCUGUAAGCCUGCGAAGGUGUGCUGUGAGGCAUGCUGGAGGUAUCAGAAGUGCGAAUGCUGACAUAAGUAACGAUAAAGCGGGUGAAAAGCCCGCUCGCCGGAAGACCAAGGGUUCCUGUCCAACGUUAAUCGGGGCAGGGUGAGUCGACCCCUAAGGCGAGGCCGAAAGGCGUAGUCGAUGGGAAACAGGUUAAUAUUCCUGUACUUGGUGUUACUGCGAAGGGGGGACGGAGAAGGCUAUGUUGGCCGGGCGACGGUUGUCCCGGUUUAAGCGUGUAGGCUGGUUUUCCAGGCAAAUCCGGAAAAUCAAGGCUGAGGCGUGAUGACGAGGCACUACGGUGCUGAAGCAACAAAUGCCCUGCUUCCAGGAAAAGCCUCUAAGCAUCAGGUAACAUCAAAUCGUACCCCAAACCGACACAGGUGGUCAGGUAGAGAAUACCAAGGCGCUUGAGAGAACUCGGGUGAAGGAACUAGGCAAAAUGGUGCCGUAACUUCGGGAGAAGGCACGCUGAUAUGUAGGUGAAGUCCCUCGCGGAUGGAGCUGAAAUCAGUCGAAGAUACCAGCUGGCUGCAACUGUUUAUUAAAAACACAGCACUGUGCAAACACGAAAGUGGACGUAUACGGUGUGACGCCUGCCCGGUGCCGGAAGGUUAAUUGAUGGGGUCAGCGCAAGCGAAGCUCUUGAUCGAAGCCCCGGUAAACGGCGGCCGUAACUAUAACGGUCCUAAGGUAGCGAAAUUCCUUGUCGGGUAAGUUCCGACCUGCACGAAUGGCGUAAUGAUGGCCAGGCUGUCUCCACCCGAGACUCAGUGAAAUUGAACUCGCUGUGAAGAUGCAGUGUACCCGCGGCAAGACGGAAAGACCCCGUGAACCUUUACUAUAGCUUGACACUGAACAUUGAGCCUUGAUGUGUAGGAUAGGUGGGAGGCUUGGAAGUGUGGACGCCAGUCUGCAUGGAGCCGACCUUGAAAUACCACCCUUUAAUGUUUGAUGUUCUAACGUUGACCCGUAAUCCGGGUUGCGGACAGUGUCUGGUGGGUAGUUUGACUGGGGCGGUCUCCUCCUAAAGAGUAACGGAGGAGCACGAAGGUUGGCUAAUCCUGGUCGGACAUCAGGAGGUUAGUGCAAUGGCAUAAGCCAGCUUGACUGCGAGCGUGACGGCGCGAGCAGGUGCGAAAGCAGGUCAUAGUGAUCCGGUGGUUCUGAAUGGAAGGGCCAUCGCUCAACGGAUAAAAGGUACUCCGGGGAUAACAGGCUGAUACCGCCCAAGAGUUCAUAUCGACGGCGGUGUUUGGCACCUCGAUGUCGGCUCAUCACAUCCUGGGGCUGAAGUAGGUCCCAAGGGUAUGGCUGUUCGCCAUUUAAAGUGGUACGCGAGCUGGGUUUAGAACGUCGUGAGACAGUUCGGUCCCUAUCUGCCGUGGGCGCUGGAGAACUGAGGGGGGCUGCUCCUAGUACGAGAGGACCGGAGUGGACGCAUCACUGGUGUUCGGGUUGUCAUGCCAAUGGCACUGCCCGGUAGCUAAAUGCGGAAGAGAUAAGUGCUGAAAGCAUCUAAGCACGAAACUUGCCCCGAGAUGAGUUCUCCCUGACUCCUUGAGAGUCCUGAAGGAACGUUGAAGACGACGACGUUGAUAGGCCGGGUGUGUAAGCGCAGCGAUGCGUUGAGCUAACCGGUACUAAUGAACCGUGAGGCUUAACCUUACAACGCCGAAGGUGUUU